Molecule: long non-coding RNA, 251 nt
Filed under: Mytilus galloprovincialis (Mediterranean mussel)
Lineage: Eukaryota; Metazoa; Mollusca; Bivalvia; Mytilida; Mytilidae
Source: RNAcentral
AAAAUUUGUAAUUUUAACUAACAUUUGCCACUGAAACUACUGGGCCAAGUUCAUUAUAGAUAGUGAUAAUUGUAAGCAGUAAGAAUGUUCAUUUAAGUAAGAUGUACAAACACAUCACCGUCACCAAAACACAAUUUGUAAUGAAUCCAUCUGCUUCCUUUGUUUAAUAUUCACAUAGACCAAGGUGAACAACACAGGCUCUUUAGAGCCUCUAGUUAUGUAUGUCUUAUCAGAUGAAAAAUAUAAACACC